Molecule: long non-coding RNA, 342 nt
Filed under: Linum usitatissimum (flax)
Lineage: Eukaryota; Viridiplantae; Streptophyta; Magnoliopsida; Malpighiales; Linaceae
Description: long non-coding RNA (LUSI_LNC001189)
Source: RNAcentral
GGUGCUUGGGAUGUUGAGUACCUGAAUGUACAUACUGGUUUCCACGUGUUCUGAAGGAUUUUAUGAUUCGAAGUUUCGACAAACAUGCAUGGCCUGAUAAGGUCUUAUAUUCAUCCAGUUUGCUGGUCUUACGGUUGACUCCCUCCUUGCUGAAUGCAGAAAAUGUGUAAUCUUUAUGGGGCUGGAGUUCCCUGGAACAAGUGUAGCCAAAAGUUUCCAAAACUAGGGAAGACGCGGGGGUUGUUGCUCGUUCUGCAUGAAAUGAAGCUUAGCAUUCUGUAGUUGAUUUCGUGCACCCCUGAUCCUGACCUCCUUCACAGUAUGACCGAGGAUCAAUUCAAU